Cercocebus atys (sooty mangabey) is the source of this 1589-nucleotide long non-coding RNA. RefSeq lists it as uncharacterized. The transcript is spliced from 3 exons. The record is from RefSeq and is a predicted model, not a curated record. Lineage: Eukaryota; Metazoa; Chordata; Mammalia; Primates; Cercopithecidae.
AGAUCACUCCACUUCUCUCAAUAACCAGUGAGUGAUGCCAAUUUGUACUGCACUGUGAAGAUUCAGAAACAGAAAAAGCUGGUGCUAAAUCUGAGAGCUGGAUUUGGAAGUACUCAAAAGAAUCUACUAAGAAUGUGAUAUCCCAGUGAUCUUGAAAGAUACAGAAGAGAACAGGACUGGCUGAAAAACACUCAGAAUGCUGUGUUUGAUAAUUGGGAGUAGAACUUCUGAAGUCUAAUGAUCCAGGCCAGAUUUAAAUCUUAACUUUUCAUCAGCCUUCAGUGUUUUUAAUCCAAGGAAUAAUUAUCUUCCUGUAUUUCUAUUUCUUAGAUCAGAAUUUUUAAAUGCCAACUUCAUUAAUUUUCUAAGAUUUAAGUUGAAACAAUGUACAAUGUUGUAUAUCCUAACUUUCCUACAAGGGGCAGGAAGCAAGGUUAUGUGCAUGGCCACGAGUUUGUAGGUACAUGUGUUGAAAUAGGAAGUAUCCUAGUAUGUAUUUAGAUAAGAAAAACUUACAUACUAGUGUUGUCUUUGAAAUUAUAACAUUUAUACCUACAUAUUCUUUGUGUUUAUUUUAAAGUUUUGAAAAUAUACAGGACUGUUAAUAAAAAAGAACGUGAUAUCAAUUUUAUGAAAGCCCUCACCCGAGGAUGCUGGGGACUUAGUAUAGUGUGCAAGAUAUUUAAUGGUAUGAGGCAUCAUCUAUAGCAGUGGUUCCCAACAUUUUAAAAUAUAAGGUACAUUUUGAAACUAAGAAAAGCAUCACCAGGUAUUGUGUGCUGGAAGUUGUACUGUUUUCAUCUAUUGAUUGACAAAUAACCUAGUGAUAAUGCCUAUUCUUAGUAAUGCUUUAAGUUGUAUUUACAUGUUAUCAAUAAUGACAGAAUCAGCAUGUUUUUGUAAAAGUAUAAGAGCUAUAUAUGAGGGGAAUGUUAUCCAUGCCAAUCAUGCUUGGCCUGCAUUCUAAACUUGUAAACCCUUUAAUGGCUUGUCACCUACAGACCAAACAGUGCUGACUUAGAUUAAAAAUAUAUCAUUGAUGAUAGGAAUCUUUUGAGUUAUUAUGAAAAUUAUUUCUUGACAAAAUCCUGAGAACUUUAAGUAAAACACUUCUUUCAGGGCCUGUGACUGAUGCUGGUCUUAUUCUCCCCACUGAUGUCUCAUCUUUUCUUGAUGCAGAAUUCGACUUCUGGUAAUCCCAUGUGAAUCUAAAGGUUUAUCAUUGCUGGAAUGAUACUCUUCACUAUGAAGUUGCAAUCUGACUGAUGUUCUGUUGCACCAAAAAACUGGCUAGGGAAAAUAUCAGGCCUGAUUAAUUAACUAGGUAAUGUGCUGAACUACAGCCCACUUUGCAAUAUCUCUAAGAUAAUGUGAUUGCAUAAGCUAAUGGAAAAUAAGUUUAUGGGCUCAGAAUUAAAAAAUAAGAUUAUUGUUUACAAGGACUUCAUCACAGAAUGUAAGGGAGUGCUCACUAAUCAGAGGAAAGGUAUCAUCAUAUCCUAGUUCCUAAACACAUUAAAAUGAUAAGCUUACUUCCAUUCAUGCAAAACCACAGGCCCCUUCUCCAAAAAGCUGGAGAUGAGAGGCCU